GAAAUGCAUAAUACUUAAUUCAAAUGGAAAAGGGGGAAUAACUCUCAUAUGGAGUCUCCGUAAAGCUUCGGUCCAAUGAUAUCUAAUUCCUGAUGGAUUGUAACGAGCAAUUAGGUAAAAUAAUAUUCUGUUAAUGUUUUACGGUUGCGAAGGAGAAGUGGCCACAAGAAAAACAGUGUUUGGGGAGAUAACUCUUACAACGUAAAGUAUUUUGUUACGCGGUUGUAAAUUUUUAAAGCGUAUAAACUAUACAAUAUCAUAUUUCAAAUAUCUAAGCGACAUCUUAUGAAACAACAAAACUACGUAAGAAAAAAAUUUAGGCUGAAGAAGAAAAAUAAUAAUUAAAAACCAAUUGUUCAGAGAACAAUUGAAGGUCUUUUCACCA
This 385-nucleotide long non-coding RNA is filed under the name Mytilus galloprovincialis (Mediterranean mussel). Lineage: Eukaryota; Metazoa; Mollusca; Bivalvia; Mytilida; Mytilidae. The record is from RNAcentral.